GAGUUUGAUCAUGGCUCAGAUUGAACGCUGGCGGCAUGCCUUACACAUGCAGGUCGAACGGUAACGCGGGGCAACCUGGCGACGAGUGGCGAACGGGUGAGUAAUGCAUCGGAACGUGCCCAGUAGUGGGGGAUAGCCCGGCGAAAGCCGGAUUAAUACCGCAUACGCCCGAGAGGGGAAAGCGGGGGACCGCAAGGCCUCGCGCGAUUGGGUUGGCCGAUGUCCGAUUAGCUUGUUGGUGAGGUAAAGGCUUACCAAGGCGAUGAUCGGUAGCUGGUCUGAGAGGAUGAUCAGCCACACUGGGACUGAGACACGGCCCAGACUCCUACGGGAGGCAGCAGUGGGGAAUUUUGGACAAUGGGGGCAACCCUGAUCCAGCCAUUCCGCGUGAGUGAAGAAGGCCUUCGGGUUGUAAAGCUCUUUUGUCCGGAGCGAAAAGGUGUCGGUGAAUAUCCGACGCUACUGACGGUACCGGAAGAAUAAGCACCGGCUAACUACGUGCCAGCAGCCGCGGUAAUACGUAGGGUGCGAGCGUUAAUCGGAAUUACUGGGCGUAAAGCGUGCGCAGGCGGUUUUGUAAGCCAGAUGUGAAAUCCCCGGGCUUAACCUGGGAAUGGCAUUUGGGACUGCAAGGCUUGAGUAUGGCAGAGGGGACUAGAAUUCCUGGUGUAGCAGUGAAAUGCGU
RNAcentral lists this ribosomal RNA (685 nucleotides) under uncultured beta proteobacterium. Its description in RNAcentral is "bacterial SSU rRNA". It matches the Rfam family "Bacterial small subunit ribosomal RNA", at positions 9 to 691 of the family's 1533-position model. Lineage: Bacteria; Pseudomonadati; Pseudomonadota; Betaproteobacteria. The record is from RNAcentral.